RNAcentral lists this signal recognition particle RNA (148 nucleotides) under Gorilla gorilla gorilla (western lowland gorilla). Its description in RNAcentral is "Metazoan signal recognition particle RNA". It matches the Rfam family "Metazoan signal recognition particle RNA". Rfam says of the family: The signal recognition particle (SRP) is a universally conserved ribonucleoprotein. The record is from Rfam by way of RNAcentral. Lineage: Eukaryota; Metazoa; Chordata; Mammalia; Primates; Hominidae.
GCCAGGUGUGGUGGUGCACAUCUGUAGUUCCAGCUAUACAGAAGGCUGAGGCAGGAGGAUCGUUUGAGCCUAGGAGGUCGAGGCUGCAGUGAGCCGUGAUGGCGCCACUGCACUCCAGCCUGGGCAACAGAGCAAGAUCCUGUCUCCA